AGAGUCGUUAGUGUCUCAUCCCUGACAAGCUACUCAGCAACAGUAAGAGCCAGGACCUACAGUCUACAGUUGUUGACAAACUACUGUUAUGUGCCGUGGCUACUGUUAGUACGUAACGGUAAAAACAGAAAAGAGGCAAAACACUAAUACUGUCUCUAUAAAACACCAGUCCUACUAACAUUAGCUUUGUAACUUUAGGUGUCAAGCUGUAUGUAAAAUCUACUGUGACAACAGUGUAUGAGGUGUAUUGGACAUUUCAGCUCCAUCAGGAGGAAAAACCUUUUCAACAGAGUGUGGGUGUUUAUCUGUUGUAAUUUGAAUUGUGUCAGAAGAACCUGCAUUUUCAGAAGCAUCUGUUUGAGACUUCACUGGAUGGUUUCAAAUAUCAGACAUCUGCUGCAACCCUAAGGACAUGAAACUACACGCUUCAUUUGACCCCUAACCCUCACAAGCGUUGUGCAUCCAUUAGCUAUACUGACUUGGAAUUGUGGGGGAUGUUGGACUCCAUCCCAGAAUACACUGGACAAGAGCAAGAAACUGAUGCACCUGGAGGAAAUCUGCACAGACAAAGAGAGAACCUGCAAUAUUCAAGCGCAGAGAAAAACAAUUUGCUAUUUGCACAAAGCCGUGUGGCCACCACGAGGUCCCCACACUGGUUGCCCUCAUACACAAAGACUGUUCUGCUG
Long non-coding RNA from Monopterus albus (swamp eel), 686 nucleotides. RefSeq lists it as uncharacterized. The record is from RefSeq and is a predicted model, not a curated record. The transcript is spliced from 6 exons. NCBI's taxonomy places the organism in Eukaryota, Metazoa, Chordata, Actinopteri, Synbranchiformes, Synbranchidae.